RNAcentral lists this ribosomal RNA (327 nucleotides) under uncultured eukaryote. RNAcentral's name for it is "partial 18S ribosomal RNA". It matches the Rfam family "Eukaryotic small subunit ribosomal RNA", at positions 1470 to 1796 of the family's 1831-position model. The record is from RNAcentral.
CCCCUAGAUGUUCUGGGCCGCACGCGCGCUACACUGAACAGUUCAACAAGUCUUAACCUUGGCCGAUAGGUCUGGGUAAUCUUUGAACGCUGUUCGUGAUUGGGAUAGACCUUUGCAAUUAUGGGUCUUCAACGAGGAAUUCCUAGUAAACGCAAGUCAUCAGCUUGCAUUGAUUACGUCCCUGCCCUUUGUACACACCGCCCGUCGCACCUACCGAUUGAAUGGUCCGGUGAAGCGUUCGGACCGUGGCCUUUGGACGGCUCGCCGUCUGUUGGCUGCGGGAAGUUCGUUAAACCUUAUCAUUUAGAGGAAGGAGAAGUCGUAACA